This 468-nucleotide ribosomal RNA is filed under the name uncultured bacterium. Its description in RNAcentral is "partial 16S ribosomal RNA". It matches the Rfam family "Bacterial small subunit ribosomal RNA", at positions 28 to 507 of the family's 1533-position model. The record is from RNAcentral.
GACGAACGCUGGCGGCGUGCUUAACACAUGCCAGUCGAACGGAAAGGCCCUGCUUUUGUGGGGUGCUCGAGUGGCGAACGGGUGAGUAACACGUGAGUAACCUGCCCUUGACUUUGGGAUAACUUCAGGAAACUGGGGCUAAUACCGGAUAGGAGCUCCUGCUGCAUGGUGGGGGCUGGAAAGUUUCGGCGGUUGGGGAUGGACUCGCGGCUUAUCAGCUUGUUGGUGGGGUAGUGGCUUACCAAGGCUUUGACGGGUAGCCGGCCUGAGAGGGUGACCGGCCACAUUGGGACUGAGAUACGGCCCAGACUCCUACGGGAGGCAGCAGUGGGGAAUAUUGCACAAUGGGCGGAAGCCUGAUGCAGCAACGCCGCGUGCGGGAUGACGGCCUUCGGGUUGUAAACCGCUUUCGCCUGUGACGAAGCGUGAGUGACGGUAAUGGGUAAAGAAGCACCGGCUAACUACGUG